This 497-nucleotide ribosomal RNA is filed under the name uncultured Proteiniphilum sp. RNAcentral's name for it is "bacterial SSU rRNA". It matches the Rfam family "Bacterial small subunit ribosomal RNA", at positions 903 to 1382 of the family's 1533-position model. Lineage: Bacteria; Pseudomonadati; Bacteroidota; Bacteroidia; Bacteroidales; Dysgonomonadaceae. The record is from RNAcentral.
GCCAGCCCGCUCAGAAACUUAAAGGAAUUGACGGGGGCCCGCACAAGCGGUGGAGCAUGUGGUUUAAUUCGAUGAUACGCGAGGAACCUUACCUGGGCUCAAAUGUAUGUUGACGUAUUCUGAAAGGGAUACUUCUUCGGACAAUAUACAAGGUGCUGCAUGGUUGUCGUCAGCUCGUGCCGUGAGGUGUCGGGUUAAGUCCCAUAACGAGCGCAACCCUCAUCAUUAGUUACCAUCAGGUAAGGCUGGGGACUCUAAUGAGACUGCCAUCGUAAGAUGUGAGGAAGGUGGGGAUGACGUCAAAUCAGCACGGCCCUUACGUCCGGGGCGACACACGUGUUACAAUGGGUGGUACAAAGGGCAGCUACCUGGCGACAGGAUGCUAAUCUCCAAAACCACUCUCAGUUCGGAUCGGAGUCUGCAACUCGACCCCGUGAAGCUGGAUUCGCUAGUAAUCGCGCAUCAGCCACGGCGCGGUGAAUACGUUCCCGGGCCUU